Ziziphus jujuba (common jujube) is the source of this 1188-nucleotide long non-coding RNA. RefSeq lists it as uncharacterized. The record is from RefSeq and is a predicted model, not a curated record. The transcript has 2 exons. NCBI's taxonomy places the organism in Eukaryota, Viridiplantae, Streptophyta, Magnoliopsida, Rosales, Rhamnaceae.
UAAAGAUACAUAUAUUAGGGGUUGAGGGAUUCUCGUCGCAGGAGAGAUGGCACUAGCCGUACGUAGUAAUAUGUAUAUAUAUUGAAAUUUUAUGUUGGACGUCCAGCUUCCAUCACAUACAUAUAUAUAUAUAUAUAUAUAUUAUUGUAUGAUUGUAUGUAAUUGGGCACCACUUGCAGUAGCUAAAAAUUUUAUAUGUAUAUAUGUGUGUGUCAGUUUGUAUAUAUGGCAAACGUGUCUGCUGGUGCCAUCCUCACGCGACGAGUACCCCUGCACUUCCUCUGAUGGGCUUUCUCCAAUUUUGCUUAAUUAUAAAAGAGAGAAAAAGAAAGUUGGAGUACUUUGCCACCUCCAAUAUCCACACACACACACACACAUACAAACACACACAGACACACAGACACACACACACACAUAUAUAUAUAUAUAUAUACAGACACACACACACACACACAUAUAUAUAUAUAUGUACACACACACACACACACAAUCCUCAUGAAGAGUAGUACUAGUGGAGCAUCAAUAGCCGGGGUGGAUUAAUAAAGGGAUUAGAAAGGGUCUUUAGUCGCGGGAGAGAUGACGCCAAAUGUGAUUAAUUAUCGCUUAAUUAAACACAAAGCCCCUUUUGUUUUGUGGUUUUUUUGGUUUUUACCACCAGGCUUCAUCUCUCGUCGACUAAAGCCCCUCCAAUUUCUUACCCAUUUCUUCCUCAUCGUCUUUCCCAAAAGCUAGCCUUUCAGAAACAAGGUACUUACUCUCUCAUUUUCCUGAAUUUACUAUUAAUUUUACCAAUAUGUAUCUAAAAAUAGGAGUUUAUCUUAGCGGCUUAAUUUCUUAGAUUUUGAUAGGAACAAGAGAAAGGAAAAGAGAAAACAUGCUAUAAAUUGAUUCCAUUUGGUCUUGCCGACCAUGCAACCUGUAUGAGCUUGCAUAACAAGGAUUUUAGAUACAUCUGCAGCUUUGUGAAGGUUAUUUAGGGGGGGAGGGGAAAUCAAGCUGCAGAAACCCAUCCCGUUUGCGUGGUGUUGAUUUCUUUUUGUUUUAUUUUGUUAAAUAUAUUUUUAGGAAAUCAUAUAUAGAGAUUAUAUAUUUUUUUAUACAAAGUAAUUAAUUGCCUGUCUAGACGAAGGGUGACAUAUGAGGAUGUUUCGUUAACAUGAUUCAAUGCAAUGCUUUCAAUAGUUGAUC